CCUGGCUCAGGACGAACGCUGGCGGCGUGCCUAAUACAUGCAAGUCAAUGAAAAAGCUCC
Molecule: ribosomal RNA, 60 nt
Filed under: Bacillus licheniformis
Lineage: Bacteria; Bacillati; Bacillota; Bacilli; Caryophanales; Bacillaceae
Description: partial 16S ribosomal RNA
Source: RNAcentral